UGCGGAAGGAUCAUUAUUGAAACAUUGUAAAGGAAGGUUGAGCUGGCUCUUCUAGAGCAAGUGCUUGCCUUUCUUUCAAUUAUUCAUCCACCUGUGCACUUUUUGUAGGAAGAACGAGAAAGCAAGGCCUUCGUAACGGAGGUCUUUCUAGUAUCGGGCUUUCUAUGUCUUUACACACUCCCGUAUGUCUUUGAAUGUCUUUUAUAAGGGUCUUAGUUGACCCUUUUAAUAAAAACUAUACAACUUUCAGCAACGGAUCUCUUGGCUCUCGCAUCGAUGAAGAACGCAGCGAAAUGCGAUAAGUAAUGUGAAUUGCAGAAUUCAGUGAAUCAUCGAAUCUUUGAACGCACCUUGCGCCUCUUGGUAUUCCGAGAGGCAUGCCUGUUUGAGUGUCAUUAAAUUCUCAACCUCAAAAGCUUUUUUGUUUCUGAGGCUUGGAUGUGGAGGUUUUUGCCGGCUUGCUUAGAGUCGGCUCCUCUCAAAUGCAUUAGUGGAAACUGUUUGUAGUCCGCAUUGGUGUGAUAAUUAUCUGCGCCGUUGUAUUCGUGGCUACAGCUCUUCGUUCGCGAAGGGUUAACAUAGUAUUCGCUUCGAACCGUCCUAAAUCGCUGGACAACACUUGACUAUUUGGACCUCAAAUCAGGUAGGACUACCCGCUGAACUUAAGCAUAUC
Molecule: small RNA, 673 nt
Filed under: Marasmius oreades (fairy-ring Marasmius)
Lineage: Eukaryota; Fungi; Basidiomycota; Agaricomycetes; Agaricales; Marasmiaceae
Description: eukaryotic LSU rRNA
Rfam family: 5.8S ribosomal RNA (bases 242-395)
Source: RNAcentral